AUGAGUGCUCUUCAAUAAGAACUUUCAACUUUUUUAGUUUUAGUGACUCUCUUGGUGCCUGACGUAGAAGUCCCUUACACAACUUCUUCAACUUCACUUUUUGUUCAUCAAUGAUUUUCAUUUCCGGAGUGCUGUCACAUUUUUGUUUUCCUAAGGAACCAAAAUCAGCAGAAUCCUCAUUGUCAACUUUCUCUUCAUCAACAUUUUCUAUUGCUGGAGUCUCAUCAUAUUUUUCUUCUGCUGAUGAAUCAAAAUCAGCAGAAUCCAUAUCAUCAGAUGCAGAAUCCUCAUCAUCACUAUUGCUAAAAGAUAUCUUUUUUCCCUGAAAGCGG
Molecule: unclassified non-coding RNA, 332 nt
Filed under: Hevea brasiliensis (rubber tree)
Lineage: Eukaryota; Viridiplantae; Streptophyta; Magnoliopsida; Malpighiales; Euphorbiaceae
Source: RNAcentral